Molecule: long non-coding RNA, 492 nt
Filed under: Erythranthe guttata (spotted monkey flower)
Lineage: Eukaryota; Viridiplantae; Streptophyta; Magnoliopsida; Lamiales; Phrymaceae
Description: long non-coding RNA (EGUT_LNC001490)
Source: RNAcentral
GAAAAAAACAUGAGGGAAUGGAGUGAUUUGUCUAAGAACAAAUUCCGUCGGGAAAAAAAAUAUGUCGGAAAAGCGUUCGGAAAAUCGUAUCGUUUGGUCAAUUUCCGGCUAAGGGGCGCCAUCGGGGUAGGAUUUUGUGUGGGUUGUGCGUGAAAAUGGUGGAAAGUUUAAACGGGAGUGAGAUAAUUUGGGGAGAGGGCGUUUUGAAAUUGCCAAGGACUGAAUUGAAAAUUCUGAAACUUUCAUUUUGGGUAAUGAAAUUUUUGGGGUUAAUCUGUAAUUUCAAUUUUUAUGAUUUUAAGGGUAUUUAGGUCUUUUCAGGUUAGAACACGCACCCCAAGCCGCACAAUCCGCGCGUGAAGAACACGAUAACCCGUUAGGGACCUUAUUGGCUUUGACUAACUUUCAUAGGGGGGUCCGUGCUAAUUUUUUUAACAGAAGGGGUUUUUCAGCAAUUAGAGUUUACACAAGGGUGGUUCUUGCAAAAAACCC